GAUGAACGCUAGCGGCAGGCUUAACACAUGCAAGUCGAGGGGCAGCGGGGAGGAAGCUUGCUUUCUCCGCCGGCGACCGGCGCACGGGUGAGUAACACGUAUGCAACCUGCCCCUGUCAGGGGGACAACCCGCCGAAAGGCGGGCUAAACCCGCGUACAUGCCACCGGGGCAUCCCGGAGGCAGGAAAGGCUUCGGCCGGACAGGGAUGGGCAUGCGGCGCAUUAGGCAGUAGGCGGGGUAACGGCCCACCUAACCGACGAUGCGUAGGGGUUCUGAGAGGAAGGUCCCCCACACUGGUACUGAGACACGGACCAGACUCCUACGGGAGGCAGCAGUGAGGAAUAUUGGUCAAUGGUCGGGAGACUGAACCAGCCAAGCCGCGUGAGGGAGGAAGGUACAGAGUAUCGUAAACCUCUUUUGUCAGGGAACAAAGGCGGGGACGUGUCCCCGGAUGAGUGUACCUGAAGAAAAAGCAUCGGCUAACUCCGUGCCAGCAGCCGCGGUAAUACGGAGGAUGCGAGCGUUAUCCGGAUUUAUUGGGUUUAAAGGGUGCGCAGGCGGUCUGUUAAGUCAGCGGUCAAAGCCCGGGGCUCAACCCCGGCCCGCCGUUGAAACUGGCAGUCUCGAGUUGGAGAGAAGUAUGCGGAAUGCGCGGUGUAGCGGUGAAAUGCAUAGAUAUCGCGCAGAACUCCGAUUGCGAAGGCAGCAUGCCGGCUCCACACUGACGCUGAGGCACGAAAGCGUGGGUAUCGAACAGGAUUAGAUACCCUGGUAGUCCACGCAGUAAACGAUGAAUAAUGGCUGUCCGGGGGGAUUGACCCCUGGGUGGCGAAGCGAAAGCGAUAAGCAUUCCACCUGGGGAGUACGCCGGCAACGGUGAAACUCAAAGGAAUUGACGGGGGCCCGCACAAGCGGAGGAACAUGUGGUUUAAUUCGAUGAUACGCGAGGAACCUUACCCGGGCUCAAACGGGGAGUGACUCAGGCAGAGACGCCUGUUUCCCACGGGACACUCCCCGAGGUGCUGCAUGGUUGUCGUCAGCUCGUGCCGUGAGGUGUCGGCUUAAGUGCCAUAACGAGCGCAACCCCCGCGUGCAGUUGCUAACAGAUAACGCUGAGGACUCUGCACGGACUGCCGGCGCAAGCCGCGAGGAAGGCGGGGAUGACGUCAAAUCAGCACGGCCCUUACGUCCGGGGCGACACACGUGUUACAAUGGGUGGUACAGCGGGAAGCCAGGCGGCGACGCCGAGCGGAUCCCGAAAUCCACUCUCAGUUCGGAUCGGAGUCUGCAACCCGACUCCGUGAAGCUGGAUUCGCUAGUAAUCGCGCAUCAGCCAUGGCGCGGUGA
This 1348-nucleotide ribosomal RNA is filed under the name uncultured bacterium. Its description in RNAcentral is "partial 16S ribosomal RNA". It matches the Rfam family "Bacterial small subunit ribosomal RNA", at positions 28 to 1365 of the family's 1533-position model. The record is from RNAcentral.